RNAcentral lists this ribosomal RNA (480 nucleotides) under uncultured bacterium. Its description in RNAcentral is "partial 16S ribosomal RNA". It matches the Rfam family "Bacterial small subunit ribosomal RNA", at positions 28 to 506 of the family's 1533-position model. The record is from RNAcentral.
GAUGAACGCUGGCGGCGUGCUUAACACAUGCUAGUCGAACGAAGCACUUUAUUUGAUUUCCUUCGGGACUGAUUAUUUUGUGACUGAGUGGCGGACGGGUGAGUAACGCGUGGGUAACCUGCCUUGUACAGGGGGAUAACAGUUGGAAACGGCUGCUAAUACCGCAUAAGCGCCCAGCAUCGCAUGAUGCAGUGUGAAAAACUCCGGUGGUAUAAGAUGGACCCGCGUUGGAUUAGCUAGUUGGUGAGGUAACGGCCCACCAAGGCGACGAUCCAUAGCCGACCUGAGAGGGUGACCGGACAAAUUGGGACUGAAACACGGCCCAAAGCCCCACGGAAGGCAGCAGUGGGGAAUAUUGCACAAUGGCCGAAAGCAUGAUGCAGCGACGCAACGUGAGCGAAGAAGUAUUUCGGUAUGUAAAGCUCUAUCAGCAGGGAAGAUAAUGACGGUACCUGACUAAGAAGCAGCGGCUAAAUACGU